Molecule: long non-coding RNA, 255 nt
Organism: Helianthus annuus (common sunflower)
Lineage: Eukaryota; Viridiplantae; Streptophyta; Magnoliopsida; Asterales; Asteraceae
Exons: 2
Source: RefSeq, a predicted model, not a curated record
CCAGAGAUAUCUACACUCUACUCACACUUUACAAACUCUCAACUACUCUCAACUGAAAUUAAUAUAUCAACUCUUUGCAUUCGGAUCUUGCGUUGUUUCUCGGCUCUCACAUCAAGGUUUUAAAAUUUUUGUCGGCUUUUCACAUCUCCCUCUUGCAUUGUUGUAAGUUCUUUCAAAUAUGACAUAGUGAAAGGAUAAAUUGUUUUUGUAGUUUUGAUUUUACUUUGUUCUGUUAUAUUUUGAUCUUUUCCUUCA